GAUGAACGCUGGCGGCGUGCCUAAUACAUGCAAGUCGAGCGAACGGACGAGAAGCUUGCUUCUCUGAUGUUAGCGGCGGACGGGUGAGUAACACGUGGAUAACCUACCUAUAAGACUGGGAUAACUUCGGGAAACCGGAGCUAAUACCGGAUAAUAUUUUGAACCGCAUGGUUCAAAAGUGAAAGACGGUCUUGCUGUCACUUAUAGAUGGAUCCGCGCUGCAUUAGCUAGUUGGUAAGGUAACGGCUUAUCAAGGCAACGAUGCAUAGCCGACCUGAGAGGGUGAUCGGCGACACUGGAACUGGGACGCGGUCCAGACUCCUACGGGAGGCAGCAGUAGGGAAUCUUCCGCAGUGGGCGAGAGCCUGACGGAGUAACGCCGCGUGAGUGAUGACGGUCUUCGGAUCGUAAAGCUCUGUUAUUAGGUAAGAACAUAUGUGUAAGUAACUGUGCAGAGCUUGACGGUACCUAAUCAGAAAGCAACGGCUAACUACGUG
RNAcentral lists this ribosomal RNA (497 nucleotides) under uncultured bacterium. RNAcentral describes it as "partial 16S ribosomal RNA". It matches the Rfam family "Bacterial small subunit ribosomal RNA", at positions 28 to 507 of the family's 1533-position model. The record is from RNAcentral.